UACGUAGGGGGCAAGCGUUGUCCGGAUUUAUUGGGCGUAAAGCGCGUGUAGGCGGCCAGGUAGGUCCGCUGUGAAAACCCGAGGCUCAACCUCGGGACGUCGGCGGAAACCAUUUGGCUAGAGUCCGGAAGAGGAGAGUGGAAUUCCCGGUGUAGAGGUGAAAUUCGUAGAUAUUGGGAAGAACACCGGUGGCGAAGGCGGCUAUCUGGACCGACAUUGACGCUGAGGCGCGAAAGCGUGGGGAGCAAACAGG
RNAcentral lists this ribosomal RNA (253 nucleotides) under uncultured bacterium. Its description in RNAcentral is "partial 16S ribosomal RNA". It matches the Rfam family "Bacterial small subunit ribosomal RNA", at positions 524 to 776 of the family's 1533-position model. The record is from RNAcentral.